GGAAGAGCCAAGCGUUAUCCGGAAUUACGGGGUGUAAAGGGAGCGCAGACGGGAAGCCAAGGCAGCUGUGAAAACUAACGGCUCAACCGUGGAGACUGCAGUUGAAACUGGCAUUCUUGAGUGAAGCAGAGGCGGGAGGAAUUCGCCGAGU
This 151-nucleotide ribosomal RNA is filed under the name Campylobacter jejuni. Its description in RNAcentral is "partial 16S ribosomal RNA". It matches the Rfam family "Bacterial small subunit ribosomal RNA", at positions 527 to 676 of the family's 1533-position model. The record is from RNAcentral. Lineage: Bacteria; Pseudomonadati; Campylobacterota; Epsilonproteobacteria; Campylobacterales; Campylobacteraceae.